GUGAGUAGUUCAGAGUUUGAUCCUGGCUCAGGAUGAACGCUGGCGGCGUGCUUAACACAUGCAAGUCGAACGGAACUACUUUAAUGAGAUUCUUCGGAAAGGAUUUGACUUAGUUUAGUGGCGGACGGGUGAGUAACGCGUGGGUAACCUGCCUCAUACAGGGGGAUAACAGUUGGAAACGACCGUUAAUACCGCAUAAGCGCACAGCAUCGCAUGAUGCAGUGUGAAAAACUCCGGUGGUAUGAGAUGGACCCGCGUCUGAUUAGCUAGUUGGUGAGGUAACGGCCCACCAAGGCGACGAUCAGUAGCCGGCCUGAGAGGGUGAACGGCCACAUUGGGACUGAGACACGGCCCAA
Molecule: ribosomal RNA, 356 nt
Filed under: uncultured bacterium
Lineage: Bacteria
Description: bacterial SSU rRNA
Rfam family: Bacterial small subunit ribosomal RNA
Source: RNAcentral